RNAcentral lists this ribosomal RNA (300 nucleotides) under uncultured Prevotella sp. Its description in RNAcentral is "bacterial SSU rRNA". It matches the Rfam family "Bacterial small subunit ribosomal RNA", at positions 496 to 795 of the family's 1533-position model. The record is from RNAcentral. Lineage: Bacteria; Pseudomonadati; Bacteroidota; Bacteroidia; Bacteroidales; Prevotellaceae.
GGUAGUGCAGCGGAAGCAUACGCGGUAAUACGGAGUGUGCAAGCGGUAAUCGUAAUUACGGGGCUGAAAGCGUGCGGAGUCGGCGUAGUAAGUCAGAUGUGAAAUCCCUAGGGUAAACCUAGGAACUGCAUUUGAAACUAAUAAACUAGAGUAUCGUAGAGGGAGGUAGAAGUCCAGAUGUAGCGGUGAAAUGCGUAGAUAUCUGGAGGAAUACCAGUGGCGAAGGCGACCUCCUGGACGAAAACUGACGCUCAAGCACGGAAGCAUGGGGAGCAAACAGGAUUAGAUACCCCUGUAGUC